RNAcentral lists this ribosomal RNA (429 nucleotides) under Actinomycetes bacterium. RNAcentral describes it as "Actinobacteria bacterium partial 16S ribosomal RNA". It matches the Rfam family "Bacterial small subunit ribosomal RNA", at positions 355 to 776 of the family's 1533-position model. The record is from RNAcentral. Lineage: Bacteria; Bacillati; Actinomycetota; Actinomycetes.
UAGGGAAUCUUCCGCAAUGGGCGAAAGCCUGACGGAGCAACGCCGCGUGAGUGAUGAAGGUCUUCGGAUCGUAAAACUCUGUUAUUAGGGAAGAACAAAUGUGUAAGUAACUAUGCACGUCUUGACGGUACCUAAUCAGAAAGCCACGGCUAACUACGUGCCAGCAGCCGCGGUAAUACGUAGGUGGCAAGCGUUAUCCGGAAUUAUUGGGCGUAAAGCGCGCGUAGGCGGUUUUUUAAGUCUGAUGUGAAAGCCCACGGCUCAACCGUGGAGGGUCAGUGGAAACUGGAAAACUUGAGUGCAGAAGAGGAAAGUGGAAUUCCAUGUGUAGCGGUGAAAUGCGCAGAGAUAUGGGGGAACACCAGUGGCGAAGGCGACUUUCUGGUCUGUAACUGACGCUGAUGUGCGAAAGCGUGGGGAUCAAACAGG